ACGCUGGCGGCGUGCCUAAUACAUGCAAGUAGAACGCUGAAGGAGGAGCUUGCUUCUCCGGAUGAGUUGCGAACGGGUGAGUAACGCGUAGGUAACCUGCCUGGUAGCGGGGGAUAACUAUUGGAAACGAUAGCUAAUACCGCAUAAGAGUAGAUGUUGCAUGACAUUUGCUUAAAAGGUGCAAUUGCAUCACUACCAGAUGGACCUGCGUUGUAUUAGCUAGUUGGUGGGGUAACGGCUCACCAAGGCGACGAUACAUAGCCGACCUGAGAGGGUGAUCGGCCACACUGGGACUGAGACACGGCUCAGACUCCUACGGGAGGCAGCAGUAGGGAAUCUUCGGCAAUGGACGGAAGUCUGACCGAGCAACGCCGCGUGAGUGAAGAAGGUUUUCGGAUCGUAAAGCUCUGUUGUAAGAGAAGAACGAGUGUGAGAGUGGAAAGUUCACACCGUGACGGUAUCUUACCAGAAAGGGACGGCUAACUACGUGCCAGCAGCCGCGGUAAUACGUAGGUCCCGAGCGUUGUCCGGAUUUAUUGGGCGUAAAGCGAGCGCAGGCGGUUAGAUAAGUCUGAAGUUAAAGGCUGUGGCUUAACCAUAGUACGCUUUGGAAACUGUUUAACUUGAGUGCAAGAGGGGAGAGUGGAAUUCCAUGUGUAGCGGUGAAAUGCGUAGAUAUAUGGAGGAACACCGGUGGCGAAAGCGGCUCUCUGGCUUGUAACUGACGCUGAGGCUCGAAAGCGUGGGGAGCAAACAGGAUUAGAUACCCUGGUAGUCCACGCCGUAAACGAUGAGUGCUAGGUGUUAGACCCUUUCCGGGGUUUAGUGCCGCAGCUAACGCAUUAAGCACUCCGCCUGGGGAGUACGACCGCAAGGUUGAAACUCAAAGGAAUUGACGGGG
RNAcentral lists this ribosomal RNA (901 nucleotides) under uncultured bacterium. Its description in RNAcentral is "bacterial SSU rRNA". It matches the Rfam family "Bacterial small subunit ribosomal RNA", at positions 33 to 918 of the family's 1533-position model. The record is from RNAcentral.